CUGCAAUCGCUUCGAAGUAUUAAAAUAGAAAGUGAAGCGAGUCGUCGAGAGGGAUGCAAUAUGGACGGGAGGAAGGCUAAAUUGACAACAAUUGUGCCACAAUACUACAACAAUGAUAGCAAUACAAACAGCUAGUAUGACGAAUUGUUUUUUAUGCAAAUAAGUGAGCUGUACGAGUAUACUCUCUCCUCAAAAAUACACAAUACACUGCAGACCUACAAAAGCUACUUCGUACUACUUCAUGACGCCUGCAUUUAAUUAAACACAAAUAAAAACAUAUUUACACAAGGAAACAGGAAGCAAACUAUACAAAAACAAAAAACAAAACAGGA
Long non-coding RNA from Rhagoletis zephyria (snowberry fruit fly), 332 nucleotides. RefSeq lists it as uncharacterized. The record is from RefSeq and is a predicted model, not a curated record. Lineage: Eukaryota; Metazoa; Arthropoda; Insecta; Diptera; Tephritidae.